ACGGAAGGCAGCAGUGGGGAAUAUUGCACAAUGGGCGUAAGCCUGAUGCAGCGAUGCCGCGUGAGGGAAGAAGGUUUUCGGAUUGUAAACCUCUGUCAACAGGGACGAAAUUGACGGUACCAGUGAAGGAAGCUCCGGCUAACUACGUGCCAGCAGCCGCGGUAAUACGUAGGGAGCAAGCGUUAUCCGGAAUUACUGGGUGUAAAGGGAGUGUAGGCGGGACUGUAAGUCAGAUGUGAAAUAUACCGGCUCAACUUGUAGACUGCAUUGGAAACUGCUGUUCUUGAGUGAAGUAGAGGUAAGCGGAAUUCCUAGUGUAGCGGUGAAAUGCGUAGAUAUUAGGAGGAACAUCAGUGGCGAAGGCGGCUUACUGGGCUUUAACUGACGCUGAGGCUCGAAAGCGUGGGGAGCAAACAGGAUUAGAUACCCUGGUA
RNAcentral lists this ribosomal RNA (434 nucleotides) under uncultured Ruminococcus sp. Its description in RNAcentral is "partial 16S ribosomal RNA". It matches the Rfam family "Bacterial small subunit ribosomal RNA", at positions 341 to 792 of the family's 1533-position model. The record is from RNAcentral. Lineage: Bacteria; Bacillati; Bacillota; Clostridia; Eubacteriales; Oscillospiraceae.